Molecule: small RNA, 1692 nt
Filed under: Rattus norvegicus (Norway rat)
Lineage: Eukaryota; Metazoa; Chordata; Mammalia; Rodentia; Muridae
Description: uncharacterized LOC102546865
Source: RNAcentral
GGGGGUGGGCUUUGAGGGUUUAUAGCCUCUCUCUACUCCCUGCUCCGUCUCCCUGUCUCCUGGAUGUGUGGAUGAAAUGUCAUGCCUCUGUCAUGCCUCCUUUGCCACAUGGACUUUAUCCCCUUGGGACUGAAGCCAAAAUUACACUUCCUUCCUUAACUUGCUGUUGGUCAUGAGACUUUUAUCACAACAACAGAAAGGUAACUGACACAAGUACCCGAUUAUUCACAUGGCUAGAGGGGGUCCCCUCUGCGGUCACCUUUUAUACUGACCCGUCUGUUCAAUAUCCCUAAGGCCCGCUGAGAAAAAGGGCCCAGAAGAAGUACCUGAAGGGAAGAAGGGCUUAUCUUGGUUUGCAGAUCUACGGGAUGAAGCCCAUAUGGUGAAGAAGGUUGGAGGAAGGUGCCGGAUUUCCAGGAAGUGAAGAUACAGAUGGUUGCCGACUGCCAAGCGGAUGCUAGGAACUGAGCGUAGGUCCUCCAGGAGAGCAGCCAGCGCUGGUCACUGCUGAGCCAUCUCUCCGAAAAGUUUUAUCACUGUACGACUGAAGAGGACUUCAUGGGACCUGCACGUCUCAUUUUAUCCUGUUAUUGUCACGUUAACAGCGAGCAGUGAACAAGGGUGAUGACGAGUCAGAUGGAGAGACAACAUGCAAGGCAAAUGGCGUUUCCUCAGCACCAACAGGAGGUUGCCCUGAUGCCAGCUGUAGCCACUGCUCACUCUGGCAAGACCGAGUGUGCAAACUUGCCUUUGCUCUUUUUGCUCCGAACAAACCCAGGCCACUCCCGCUGCUCAGGAGACAACCCUUGGACCUGUUUUCCUCCUAUGGUGACACUGACUUUCUUGUCUGUUUUUGAGCAGAAGAAGCAGAUACGAAACGGAGGCAGAGGAGCCAAGUUUUCUCUUCUUCUAGUUACCCAUUAGACAUCUGCAGGCCCAGGGCAAGGUCAGCAUUUCUGGCAAGUACAGCCCGUGUCCCUGUCGUGGUAAGGACAACUAUUGUUGAAGUGUUUGUAUGUGUCAAUAAUGUCUAAAAUAAAUAAAUCUUCACUUGACAGACAGUCCAGGAAUGCUGUGUUCAGCCACAGUGUAUGAGAGGAGAGGCUGUGUCAUGCGCGAUACAUGAAGCAAUGCACAUAAAUACUCUCUACUGGUACUGAUACCGAAAGACCUAGACCCUUCGACUUCAUAGAAGCCAGUUCGCCUUCCUUGUUAACCCUUUCCUAACCCGCAUCUUCCAGUUCUCUAACCUUCUACAUUUUGAGGCCAUACUCCACUCUCGGGUGAUUUUUUAUUGCCUGUUGGCCUAUCGUUUUUGAAGCCAAAAGCGAGCUAGCUUCCUCAGAUGUGCAUGUCGGCCAUCUUUCCUCCUUUUGGUUGGUGUUCACGGUGAGAAUGGUAGUAAACAUUGCCCAAGGGAAAUACUCAGGGAGAGACAUGUGUGUCUGCUAGCUGUGACCUUAGACACGAGUUUUCUGACUUGAGAAAAGUUGCACUCCCUCCCGCAACAUCCGGGAUUUUGUGGGGAGAAAGGAAAGGAAUGCUGGGAUGAGCUUAGGAUUCCUUGGGCUCAGUUAGACUCUAGGAACGAGUGUGUGACCUUCGGUCACGUCAUCUUGCUUCAGUGUCCUGGCUAGUUUUAUGUCUGCUUCAUACAAGCUAGGGUCCUUAGAGAACACGCCUCCAUAAGAU